AUUGAACGCUGGCGGCAUGCCUUACACAUGCAAGUCGAACGGUAACAGGUCUUCGGAUGCUGACGAGUGGCGAACGGGUGAGCAAUACAUCGGAACGUGCCUAGUGGUGGGGGAUAACUACUCGAUAGAGUGGCUAAUACCGCAUGAGAUCUACGGAUGAAAGCAGGGGAUCGCAAGACCUUGUGCUACUAGAGCGGCCGAUGGCAGAUUAGGUAGUUGGUGGGAUAAAAGCUUACCAAGCCGACGAUCUGUAGCUGGUCUGAGAGGACGAUCAGCCACACGGGGACUGAGACGCGGCCCAGAAUCCUACGGGAGGCAGCAGUGGGGAAGUUUGGUCAACGGGCGAAAGCCUGAUCCAGCAAUGCCGCGUGCAGGAUGGAGGCCUUCGGGUUGUAAACUGCUUUUGUACGGAACGAAAAGCCCGGGGUUAAGACCCUGGGGUCAUGACGGUACCGUAAGAAUAAGCACCGGCUAACUACGUGCCAGCCGCCGCCGUAA
RNAcentral lists this ribosomal RNA (498 nucleotides) under uncultured bacterium. RNAcentral describes it as "partial 16S ribosomal RNA". It matches the Rfam family "Bacterial small subunit ribosomal RNA", at positions 30 to 523 of the family's 1533-position model. The record is from RNAcentral.